This is a long non-coding RNA of Conger conger (European conger), 814 nucleotides long. RefSeq lists it as uncharacterized. NCBI's taxonomy places the organism in Eukaryota, Metazoa, Chordata, Actinopteri, Anguilliformes, Congridae. The transcript has 3 exons. The record is from RefSeq and is a predicted model, not a curated record.
CCAAUCCCUUUCCAUUUUGACUGGCCGUUUAUGUGCAUACGGGAAGCUCAUAUGCAUAUACAGGCCCAUGCUGCUGCAAGACCGGCCCUCUUAAGACUUUCCUCAAGACUGCGUUUGUGUGCACACAGUUCCACGUACUUGCCCAUCAUCAUUUAAAAUGGCUCAUCCUUCAGGACAAAGCAUUGGAGGAAAUUACAAAAGGAUCUGGAUUGUGGGCUCAAGCCUCAUACGUCGUGCUGAACCAAGGGCUGUCCAAACCAUGGGGAGAAACCUGGGGCUCAACGCCACAGUAUCUUGGUUUGGACAGGGAGGCCUGCGCUGGAGCAGUGUACUACCAUUGCUCUACAAACAGCUGUCCACCCAGACACCACCUGACAUACUGGUGGUCCAUGCUGGAGGAAAUGAUUUGGGCAAGGUGAAGACCAUAGAAUUGGUCAAAAGAAUGAAGACAGACCUGACACGUAUACAGAGAGACUUCAAGAACACAGAAAUCAUUUUCUCCUGUAUUGCACAGCGGCGGGACUGGAGAAAUGCGAACCCCGCCAAAAUUAACAAGGCUUGUAUCUGGGUAAAUAAUGUAAUGACAGUCUUCAUCAGAGGUUUGGGUGGGGCAUCUAUUCCACACACUGAAAUAAAAUAUAAUCAACCGGAACAGUUUUUAAGGGAUGGGGUACAUUUAUCUGCACUUGGCAAUGAUGUAUUCUUAAAUAAUUUCAACCUUGCACUGCUCAGAUUGUGUGAAUGACACCAUUGCAGUUCAGACCCAAUGUUGUUUUUAGCUCUUCUUUUUACAACACAUUGUUAAUAUUGAAAU